AGGUCUUCGAACUACUCCCGUAGACCGCGUAUGAACGUACGUUUUCACCCGUCGGGUGACAGGGAGACGAGGUGGUGCAUGGUUGUCGUCAGCUCGUGUCGUGAGAUGUUGGGUUAAGUCCCGCAACGAGCGCAACCCCUACGUUUAGUUGCUUAACGCGUGAAGGCGAGCACUCUAGACGAACUGCCGUUGACAAAACGGAGGAAGGUGGGAUGACGUCAAAUCAUCAUGCCCUUAUGUUCUGGGCUACACACGUGCUACAAUGGCCGGUACAGACGGACGCAAAGCCGCGAGGUGGAGCAAAUCCUAAAAAGCCGGUCUCAGUUCGGAUUGCAGGCUGCAAUUCGCCUGCAUGAAGUCGGAAUCGCUAGUAAUCGCAGGUCAGCAUACUGCGGUGAAUACGUUCCCGGGCCUU
This 415-nucleotide ribosomal RNA is filed under the name uncultured Pelotomaculum sp. Its description in RNAcentral is "bacterial SSU rRNA". It matches the Rfam family "Bacterial small subunit ribosomal RNA", at positions 976 to 1382 of the family's 1533-position model. The record is from RNAcentral. Lineage: Bacteria; Bacillati; Bacillota; Clostridia; Eubacteriales; Desulfotomaculaceae.